CUCAGAGGGCGCAGAAUCUCAGCUUUCGCCUUUGUUAAAGGAGGAUGGGACGUUUCGGAAGCGAGAGCCGUCGUUUGCGGAGCUGGAGAAGAGACUCAGCGAUUUCUCUCUGCAAAGUGCCCUGCUGCAGGAGGUGCUGCUGGGAUUCAAAGAGACGCUGCAACGGGAGCUGGGGAGCGACACAGG
Molecule: long non-coding RNA, 186 nt
Organism: Mauremys reevesii (Reeves's turtle)
Lineage: Eukaryota; Metazoa; Chordata; Testudines; Geoemydidae
Exons: 3
Source: RefSeq, a predicted model, not a curated record